RNAcentral lists this small nuclear RNA (202 nucleotides) under Gopherus agassizii (Agassiz's desert tortoise). RNAcentral's name for it is "U2 spliceosomal RNA". It matches the Rfam family "U2 spliceosomal RNA". Rfam says of the family: U2 is a small nuclear RNA (snRNA) component of the spliceosome (involved in pre-mRNA splicing). Complementary binding between U2 snRNA (in an area lying towards the 5' end but 3' to hairpin I) and the branchpoint sequence (BPS) of the intron results the bulging out of an unpaired adenosine, on the BPS, which initiates a nucleophilic attack at the intronic 5' splice site, thus starting the first of two transesterification reactions that mediate splicing. Lineage: Eukaryota; Metazoa; Chordata; Testudines; Testudinidae. RNAcentral also lists the same sequence under 1 other name. The record is from Rfam by way of RNAcentral.
AUCAAUUUCUCAGCCUUCUGGCUAAGAGAGGUGAAAAAAUUAUCUAGUAUCUGUUCUUAUCAGUUUAAUAUUUGAUAUGUCCUUUAUUUGAGGACUGUAUAUUAAAUUGAUUUUUGAAACAGGGGGAUGGAAUAGGCACUUGCUCUGUCCACCCCAUGCAUUGACCUGGUAUUGCAGUGCCUCCAGGACUGGUAGGAUCCAG